This 940-nucleotide ribosomal RNA is filed under the name uncultured fungus. RNAcentral's name for it is "eukaryotic LSU rRNA". It matches the Rfam family "Eukaryotic large subunit ribosomal RNA", at positions 20 to 978 of the family's 3401-position model. The record is from RNAcentral. Lineage: Eukaryota; Fungi.
AGUACCCGCUGAACUUAAGCAUAUCAAUAAGCGGAGGAAAAUAAACCAACUGGGAUUGCCUUAGUAACUGCGAGUGAAGCGGCAAAAGCUCAAAUUUGAAAUCUGGCGUAAGCCCGAGUUGUAAUUUGAAGAGGAUGCAUCUGCAACGAGUGCUGGCUCAAGUUUCUUGGAACGGAGCGUCAUAGAGGGUGAGAACCCCGUAGUUAGCUAGAUACUCUGUUGCUUAUGUUGCUCCUUCGAAGAGUCGAGUUGUUUGGGAAUGCAGCUCUAAGUGGGAGGUAAAUUUCUUCUAAGGCUAAAUAUCGGCCGGAGACCGAUAGCGAACAAGUAGAGUGAUCGAAAGAUGAAAAGCACUUUGAAAAGAGGGUUAAAUAGUACGUGAAAUUGUUGAAAGGGAAGCGUUUGCAGUCAGACUUGCUUUCGAUGAACAAGGUUUCUUUGCGAAGCUUUUAUUCAGUUGUGAGCAGGCCAGCAUCAGUUUGAGCGGUAGGAAAAAGGUGUGGAAAAUGUAGCUUGCUUUGCAAGUGUUAUAGUUCCUGCGUCAUACUACCAGUUUGGACUGAGGAUAGCGUCUUUGACUAGGAUGCUGGCGUAAUGGCUGUAAACGACCCGUCUUGAAACACGGACCAAGGAGUCUAACAUCUGCGCGAGUGUUUGGGUGUCAAGCUCGCACGCGUAAUGGAAGUGAACGAAGGUGGGAAUCCCGUCAAACGGAUGCACCAUCGACCGAUCCUGAUGUUUUCGGAUGGAUUUGAGUAAGAGCGCAGCUGUUAGGACCCGAAAGAUGGUGAACUAUGCCUGUGUAGGCUGAAGCCAGAGGAAACUCUGGUGGAAGGUCGCAGCGGUUCUGACGUGCAAAUCGAUCGUCAAACAUGGGUAUAGGGGCGAAAGACUAAUCGAACCAUCUAGUAGCUGGUUCACGCCGAAGUUUCCCUCAGGA